AUUGAACGCUGGCGGCAGGCCUAACACAUGCAAGUCGAGCGAGCGGCGGACGGGUGAGUAAUGUAUGGGGAUCUGCCCAGUAGCGGGGGAUAACUACUGGAAACGGUAGCUAAUACCGCAUACCAUCGGAUGUGCCCAGAUGGGAUUAGCUAGUAGGUGGGGUAACGGCUUACCUAGGCGACGAUCCCUAGCUGGUCUGAGAGGAUGACCAGCCACACUGGAACUGAGCCACGGUCCAGACUCCUACGGGAGGCAGCAGUGGGGAAUAUUGCACAAUGUGCGCAAGCCUGAUGCAGCCAUGCCGCGUGUAUGAAGAAGGCCUUCGGGUUGUAAAGUACUUUCAGCGGGGAGGCGUUACCCGCAGAAGAAGCACCGGCUAACUCCGUGCCAGCAGCCGCGGUAAUUC
RNAcentral lists this ribosomal RNA (406 nucleotides) under uncultured bacterium. Its description in RNAcentral is "partial 16S ribosomal RNA". It matches the Rfam family "Bacterial small subunit ribosomal RNA", at positions 30 to 526 of the family's 1533-position model. The record is from RNAcentral.